Molecule: ribosomal RNA, 433 nt
Filed under: uncultured bacterium
Lineage: Bacteria
Description: partial 16S ribosomal RNA
Rfam family: Bacterial small subunit ribosomal RNA
Source: RNAcentral
AACGAACGCUGGCGGCAUGCCUAACACAUGCCAGUCGAACGAGACCUUCGGGUCUAGUGGCGCACGGGUGCGUAACGCGUGGGAACCUGCCCUUAGGUUCGGAAUAACUCCCCGAAAGGGGUGCUAAUACCGGAUAAUGUCUUCGGACCAAAGAUUUAUCGCCUUUGGAUGGGCCCGCGUUGGAUUAGCUAGUUGGUAGGGUAAAAGCCUACCAAGGCGACGAUCCAUAGCUGGCCUGAGAGGAUGAUCAGCCACACUGGGACUGAGACACGGCCCAGACUCCUACGGGAGGCAGCAGUGGGGAAUAUUGGACAAUGGGCGAAAGCCUGAUCCAGCAAUGCCGCGUGAGUGAUGAAGGCCUUAGGGUUGUAAAGCUCUUUUACCCGGGAUGAUAAUGACAGUACCGGGAGAAUAAGCUCCGGCUAACUCCGUG